CCAAACUUGGUCAUUUAGAGGAAGUAAAAGUCGUAACAAGGUUUCCGUAGGUGAACCUGCGGAAGGAUCAUUAGUGGAGUGGAGUGGGGGGGAUUGUGGGUGGGUGGGACAAAACCCACUCACUCGCAUCCCACCAAACAUUAGCACUGGGAACGGUCAGUUCCCGGUCCACAUAAAGCAUGUCUCUGUUUGUCAUAUUUGUACCGACAUAAUAUCACAACUUUUAACAAUGGAUCUCUUGGCUCUUGCAUCGAUGAAGAACGCAGC
RNAcentral lists this unclassified non-coding RNA (267 nucleotides) under uncultured fungus. Its description in RNAcentral is "partial contains small subunit ribosomal RNA, internal transcribed spacer 1, and 5.8S ribosomal RNA". The stretch from base 1 to 73 matches the Rfam family "Eukaryotic small subunit ribosomal RNA", at positions 1759 to 1831 of the family's 1831-position model. The record is from RNAcentral. Lineage: Eukaryota; Fungi.